Gasterosteus aculeatus aculeatus (three-spined stickleback) is the source of this 641-nucleotide long non-coding RNA. Lineage: Eukaryota; Metazoa; Chordata; Actinopteri; Perciformes; Gasterosteidae. The record is from Ensembl.
AUCGUCCUAAAGCAUCACAUUCCUGUUCCGAUGCAACGAGCUGAUGUUUCUGCUGCUGGACGGCGCCGCGCGACAGGAAGUCAAAACAAAAGCCCGUCUACCAAACGCCACCCAUCGGCAUGCUGGGUAAUGGAUCGGAGGAAAUCAUCGAGCAUUCGACUUCGGAGAGCGAAGCGUGUUAGAUUUACUCCUCCUGGUGGUUCGGAACCACAUCUGGAGUGAAAGAGAAGAUGUUUGCCCUGAAUGCAGAUGUUGUUGUCUGAUGGCGUCAGAGAGGAAACGAGCGCCUCGGCAGACCAGAUAAGCCCCGAUCUGAUGCGUGUGAGGAACACGGGGAUGCUGGAUGGUACGUCGUACAUUAUCACUCCACAUGGAUGUGCACCCGUUCUCUCUCUGCCGCCGCCGCCGCCGCCUGCUUCCUCCGGCGCUCCGUCCUCUCACGGCUGAAGCUGUGAGCCGCAACAAAAGGUCUCUGUUGGAGAAAAGAAGCGGCGUGCUGCGUCUCCGGGGGGGGGGGGUGAAUGGAUGCAGAAGGCCGUCUUCAGUUGGUAAAAGCGGAGAGAAAAGGAAGAGUCUGCUCUUUGACCCGAGGGAGGACGGACGGACACGAGCGCCGCGUGUCUCCUUUGCUUUAAGGAACC